This 456-nucleotide ribosomal RNA is filed under the name uncultured bacterium. RNAcentral's name for it is "partial 16S ribosomal RNA". It matches the Rfam family "Bacterial small subunit ribosomal RNA", at positions 338 to 795 of the family's 1533-position model. The record is from RNAcentral.
CCUACGGGAGGCUGCAGUGGGGAAUAUUGCACAAUGGGGGGAACCCUGAUGCAGCGACGCCGCGUGGGUGAAGGAGCACCUCGGUGCGUAAAGCCCUAUCGGCAGGGAAGAAAAGCGAACAGGUUCGCCUGGACGGUACCUGACUAAGAAGCCCCGGCUAACUACGUGCCAGCAGCCGCGGUAAUACGUAGGGGACAGGCGUUAUCCGGAUUCACUGGGUGUAAAGGGGGCGUAGACGGCGGCGCAAGUCUGGAGUGGAAGCCCGGGGCCCCACCCCGGCACUGCCCUGGAAACGGCGGCGCUGGAGUACGGGAGGGGCAGGCGGAAUGCCUGGUGUAGCGGUGAAAUGCGUAGAUAUCAGGAGGAACACCGGCGGCGAAGGCGGCCUGCUGGACCGUGACUGACGUUGAGGCUCGAGAGCGUGGGGAGCAAACAGGAUUAGAUACCCUGGUAGUC